RNAcentral lists this ribosomal RNA (253 nucleotides) under uncultured bacterium. Its description in RNAcentral is "partial 16S ribosomal RNA". It matches the Rfam family "Bacterial small subunit ribosomal RNA", at positions 524 to 776 of the family's 1533-position model. The record is from RNAcentral.
UACGUAGGGGGCAAGCGUUGUCCGGAUUUAUUGGGCGUAAAGAGCGUGUAGGCGGCCAGGUAGGUCAGCUGUGAAAACUCGAGGCUCAACCUCGAGAUGUCGGCUGAAACCAUCUGGCUAGAGUCCGGAAGAGGAGAAUGGAAUUCCCGGUGUAGCGGUGAAGUGCGCAGAUGAUCGGGAAGAACACCCGUGGCGAAGGCGGUUCUCUGGGAAUAUCCUGACGCUGAGGAGCGAAAGUGUGGGAGCGAACAGG